This 495-nucleotide ribosomal RNA is filed under the name uncultured bacterium. RNAcentral describes it as "bacterial SSU rRNA". It matches the Rfam family "Bacterial small subunit ribosomal RNA", at positions 30 to 524 of the family's 1533-position model. The record is from RNAcentral.
AUUGAACGCUGGCGGAAUGCUUUACACAUGCAAGUCGAACGGUAGAGGGGGCAACCCCUUGAGAGUGGCGAACGGGUGAGUAAUAUAUCGGAACGUGCCCAGUCGUGGGGAUAACGUAGCGAAAGUUACGCUAAUACCGCAUACGAUCUAAGGAUGAAAGCGGGGGAUCGCAAGACCUCGCGCGAUUGGAGCGGCCGAUAUCAGAUUAGGUAGUUGGUGAGGUAAAGGCUCACCAAGCCAACGAUCUGUAGCUGGUCUGAGAGGACGACCAGCCACACUGGAACUGAGACACGGUCCAGACUCCUACGGGAGGCAGCAGUGGGGAAUUUUUGGACAAUGGACGCAAGUCUGAUCCAGCCAUUCCGCGUGCAGGAUGAAGGCCCUCGGUUGUAAACUGCUUUUGUACGGAACGAAAGGUUUCCAUUAUACUAGGAGCUCAUGACGGUACCGUAAGAAUAAGACACCGGCUAACUACGUGCCAGCAGCCGCGGUAAA